UUUUUUUUUUUUUUAUUCAUAAGAGACAGAGAGGGAGGCAGAGGGAGAAGCAAAGUCCUCAAAGAGCAUGGGGCUCUACGCGAGACUCGAUCUCAGGACCCUGGAAUCACAACCUGCGCCAAAAGCACAAGCUUAACCAACUGAGCCACCCAGGCAUUCAGAGAACUUUUAUGCUUUUUUUCCUCUACUUUUGUGUCUGCUUUAGAUUUUUCACAAUAAAAAGUUUUUUUAAAUGUCGACGGAAUAGUGUGGGCAGCUACUAAUAAAUAUAUUUUUCAGAUAGGAAAGCAUCAUCCAAGAGAAAUCCAACAGAAUGACAACUUUUAAGGCAGUAGAAUUUUUCCACAGUACUUUCUAUCUUGUUCAACUGUGAAAUAUCACUGACUUUGGAGUUACUUCCCCUCCUCUGGACACCUCAUGUUCUCCUUUCUGUUAACAACGUUUGCUACUACAUGAAUACUAAAAAUGGGUCAGGAAUCAUGGUGAAAAUUUUUUCAGAUCUCAAUAGUCUAAAUGCUAUUUAUCAUAAUUUUUAAAACUAUAUUCUCCAAUUUAUUUUUAAUAAAUAAUAAAAGCCUAUUAUUUAAUUCAGAUUUUUAAAAUAAGUCCAUAUUCCCAUAAGUUAUAGAUGGAAAUAAGAAUUUAUUUGUAUAACAGGCAAGAAGUAGCAUCCCAAAAACUGACCCUACCAUGCAACAUUCUGUAACAUGUUCCUUGUUGCCACAGCUGGGAGCAAAGUUCAAAAGGACCAUUAAGAUGAGAUAGGAUGAUGUAGAUCUUGUGCUAUUUCAGUUUAUGUGUUUUCUCCUGCUAUAGAUUUGAGAUGGCACGCAGUACAGAAAUAUGUUACUAUGGAAGAUGAAACCUCUUGCUUUUGAAAAUCUCUCAUGACUUUCAAACUUGAUAUAAGACUUCUGCUCACUUAUGGCAGUUUGUAGUCUGCCCUGGCCCAGAGUCUGGUUGGUCUGUUUUAGAGGUGAGCAUGCCGUGGGUGAGAGGCAAACACAAUGGGAUUUGAAGCCAUCAGGCCUGUUUGAUUCUAAUACAGCCUCAUAGUCCUUAUUCAUCUCUGAAUUCCUGGCUCCAUGACCCAUCCUCCAUCCUGGCCUGUACCACCAUAGGUCUUGACAUUUAUAAGCUUUUCCUACCCUUUGUACUUUCAAUUUAUCCCUAAAGACAUUGAUUUAUCAUGUUUUCAGUUAAUCCCCUCUACCUUAACCUUGGUUCCAAUGAAUUCUGCAUGUCCCCCUCCCAGGUUUUUAGAUUUCCUACCUCCUUGCCUCUCCUCCAGCCACUUAAACUACAACCCCAAAUAGCUCGACAGGGGUAUCUGAUGCCUCUAGGGCUUUGGAGUUGUGAUAUCACUACCAGCCCUGAAUUUGAUUCUCACAACCUGUCAUUUUGACAAAGACUUAUAAAAUAAAUGCUCAUAAUAUGUAUCCCCUGGGGUGUUUUUAUUAACCCCUGGUCAGAGGAAAGGAUGUGGGUUUCAUUUACGGUUACAGGGACAAUGAAGCACCUUUAGCCUUCGGUGCAUUUCGAAAAUGCAGCUUUCCUCAUAUCCACUCAGUGAAGAAAAUGAAUAAAACGUAAACUUGAAGCUAAAAUCAAAAGCCUCAUUUAAAUCAGUAUUUUCUCAUUUCACCCUAACUCAAUCUUAUACUAGAAAAAUUGACAAGAUUAAAAGAAAAAUCAAAACUUUAAUUUGAACUUAUUUUCCCUCGGUUUGCAUCCAAACAUUGUGUAACUUAAAACAUUUUAUUUUCAAUGACUCACCUAUUCCAUGAAGCUUCUUUUUCCUGUGGACUACUCUAUUCAAUUCAACCAACACUUGCCAGGCAUCAGUUAUGUUCAAAAUACUAAACAUAUAAAUAUGUCAUAAUAAUCAUAGCUGACAAUUACUGAGUGCAUAGUCCCCAUUAGGCACAGCGAUUAUCAUGUAUUAUUUUAAAAUAUUUUAUUUAUUUAUUUGAAAGAGAGAGCACAGAGGGAGAAAGAACAUGAGUGGGGAGCAGGGGAGGGGGAUGGGGUAGAGGGAGAGAGAGAGGGAGAAGCAGACUCCCCACUGAGCAGAGACCCCCAUCACAGGACUGGAUCCCAGGACUCUGGGGCCCUGACCUGAGCCGAAGGCAGACAUUUCACCCACUGAACCACCCAGGCAACCCGUCAUGUAUUAUUUAACCCUGACAGCAACACUAUGAGGUAGAGGGACUAUUAUUUUUCAACUGGUAAACUGAAAAUUUAUGCUUGGGUUAAAAACCUUAGAGACAGGAGUUUGGAAAUAUUCUAAAGUGUUAUCAAAAAAUGAGUUACUGGGAUCGAGUCCCAUGUGGGGCUCCCUGCAUGGAGCCUGCUUCUCCCUCUGCUUGUGUCUCUGCCUCUCUCUCUCCCUGUGUCUUCCAUGAAUAAAUAAAAUCUUUAAAAAAAGUGAAUUACAUUUCUAAACUAAAAAAUAACAUGAGGAACACAUAUAGGAAACACCUGGGUGGCUCAUUCGGUUGUGUCUGCCUUUGGUUCAGGUCAUUAUCCUGGGGUCCUGGGAUUGAGCCCUGUGGUGGGCUCUCUGCUCAGCAGGAAGCCUGCUUUUCUUUCUACCCCCUCUCUCCUGUUCUGCUGUAUCUCACUAUCUCUCUCUCUCAAAUAAAAAAAAAUAAAAUCUUAAAAAACAAAAAAGAAACACACAUAGGCAAAUACAUAAUCUUGAAGGCAAGUGUGCAGAAGACCAUCUCUCACUUACUCAGAGUUUGAGUUCGCCAUGUCCUUGCCAUGGAUGUCCUGUUAUAAGAGUUUCAUUGUUUGUUAGCACUUCUCUCAGAAGCUGGAAAGGUGUAGGGGGAGAGGAGAAAGAAGACAACAAUCCAAUUUAAAGUUUUUCAGCUGCUAGACACUCUGGUAAGAAGUCAGUUAGAUGAUAAUCAGAAAUGACAGAUUUGGCCAAGACUUUGAAUUCACCAUAAUCUCCAAGACCCAGAUUUACAUAUCAAAUUUGGACAUUGAACUAGAAAGCAUUCACUUUUGGCCACUUAUAAAAGCCAAGGGCUUUCUCUACAUUAUCCCAUUUAGUAAUUACAACUAUAUGACAUAGUAGGUUUUCAUAUUUCUGUUUCAUAGAUAAGGAAACCAAGCCUCACAAAGAUAAAGUGAUGCAUUCAAGAUACUAAAAUUGUGAUGUCUUGGGAGAGAUGCAGCAGGGAAAAAUUGAGUUUUGCGGUUAGGUAGGUGCAAGUUCAAAUUAGAGCUCUGAUACGUUCCUGCUAUGUAACCUUGAACCAGUUAACUUGUCUGAACUUCUGUUUCCUUGCUAUAAAGUGGAAAUAAUAAUGCCUAAUACAUAGACUGACUAUAAUAAUUAAAUAAGGUAACAUAUGUGCAGUAGAUGGGAGUUCUUCAAUGAUAGUUCGAAAUGAUAGCACAGAUGAUAGUUCUUCAAAUUCCUACCCAGUGUGACUACUGUAAUAGAGGGAAAACCCAGGUCUGCUUCAGUUGGGCCAAGACUCUCCCUCAAAGGGCAAUCACCAUACCCUAGAAUAAAAAUGUAGAGAA
Molecule: long non-coding RNA, 3543 nt
Filed under: Canis lupus familiaris (dog)
Lineage: Eukaryota; Metazoa; Chordata; Mammalia; Carnivora; Canidae
Description: lncRNA (ENSCAFG00000054952.1)
Source: RNAcentral